UGAUUACGGACAGACCUUAAAUAAUUUGCUGUUGUUCUUUGGGUUUACAUUAGGUGCAAAGAAGUAAACCUCUCUGCACUUUCUGUCUUUGUGGCAGCCCAGAUUGAAUAAGGGCAUAUAUUU
Molecule: small nucleolar RNA, 123 nt
Organism: Suricata suricatta (meerkat)
Lineage: Eukaryota; Metazoa; Chordata; Mammalia; Carnivora; Herpestidae
Source: Ensembl